GGGAUUUGCCCAACAGCUCAUUAUUGCCCUGAGGCAAGCUCUACAGCAGUGCCCUGCCCAGCUGGUACCUACACUAACCUCACUGGCCAGUCAGAGUGUUCCCUGUGCCCGGCUGGAUACUAUUGUCCAGAAAGGACUCGAAAUUUUACUGAAUUCCCUUGCCCUGCUGGAUUUUACUGCCCGGAUGGAACGAGGUAUGCCACCCAGUUUCCCUGUCCACGUGGAUACUACAAUCCUGAACCCAUGACACAGAGUUUGGACAGUUGCUUGCCCUGUCCCCCAGGGUACUAUUGUGAAAAGGAAAGGCUGACCAAAGUAUCUGGAAAAUGCAAGGCUGGUUGGUUUUGUGUAUCAGCUGCCUGGACCUCGCAGCCUUUUGACCUGGACAACUACACAAAUGCCAAUUGCCUUUGUCCAGCUACCUCCACAGG
Molecule: long non-coding RNA, 431 nt
Filed under: Gouania willdenowi (blunt-snouted clingfish)
Lineage: Eukaryota; Metazoa; Chordata; Actinopteri; Blenniiformes; Gobiesocidae
Description: lncRNA (ENSGWIG00000006147.1)
Source: RNAcentral